GGGGUUGUGGCUCAGUGGCAGAGCGCUUGCCUAGCACAUAUGAGGCCCUGGGUUCAAUCCUCAGCACCA
Molecule: transfer RNA, 69 nt
Filed under: Ictidomys tridecemlineatus (thirteen-lined ground squirrel)
Lineage: Eukaryota; Metazoa; Chordata; Mammalia; Rodentia; Sciuridae
Description: Spermophilus tridecemlineatus (thirteen-lined ground squirrel) tRNA
Rfam family: tRNA
About the family: Transfer RNA (tRNA) molecules are approximately 80 nucleotides in length.
Source: Rfam by way of RNAcentral